RNAcentral lists this ribosomal RNA (3018 nucleotides) under Providencia rettgeri. Its description in RNAcentral is "23S ribosomal RNA". It matches the Rfam family "Bacterial large subunit ribosomal RNA". RNAcentral also lists the same sequence under 1 other name. Lineage: Bacteria; Pseudomonadati; Pseudomonadota; Gammaproteobacteria; Enterobacterales; Morganellaceae. The record is from RNAcentral.
GGUUAAGCGACUAAGCGUACACGGUGGAUGCCUAGGCAAUCAGAGGCGAUGAAGGACGUGCUAAUCUGCGAUAAGCGUCGGUAAGGUGAUAUGAACCGUUACAACCGACGAUUUCCGAAUGGGGAAACCCAGUGCAAUUCGUUGCACUAUCGUUUGAUGAAUACAUAGUCAAACGAAGCGAACCGGGGGAACUGAAACAUCUCAGUACCCCGAGGAAAAGAAAUCAACCGAGAUUCCCCUAGUAGCGGCGAGCGAACGGGGAGCAGCCCAGAGUCUUAAUCAGCAUUAGCAUCAGGAGAACGGUCUGGAAAGUCCGGCAGUAAAGGGUGAUAGCCCCGUAUCCGAAGGUGUUAGUGUUGUGAACUCGACGAGUAGGGCGGGACACGUGUUAUCCUGUCUGAAUAUGGGGGGACCAUCCUCCAAGGCUAAAUACUCCUGAUUGACCGAUAGUGAACCAGUACCGUGAGGGAAAGGCGAAAAGAACCCCGGCGAGGGGAGUGAAAUAGAACCUGAAACCGUGUACGUACAAGCAGUGGGAGCCCCACCACCAAAGCAUUUUCUGGUGUUGAGGACAACUUUGAAGUGGCAUUCAACACGCGUUGACGGAGCGCUUUUUGCGACGUCCAACACACAAAACAAGCAGUGAAUGUGCUUUGGGGUGGGGUGACUGCGUACCUUUUGUAUAAUGGGUCAGCGACUUAUAUUCUGUAGCAAGGUUAACCGUAUAGGGGAGCCGUAGGGAAACCGAGUCUUAACUGGGCGAAUGAGUUGCAGGGUAUAGACCCGAAACCCGGUGAUCUAGCCAUGGGCAGGUUGAAGGUUGGGUAACACUAACUGGAGGACCGAACCGACUAAUGUUGAAAAAUUAGCGGAUGACUUGUGGCUGGGGGUGAAAGGCCAAUCAAACCGGGAGAUAGCUGGUUCUCCCCGAAAGCUAUUUAGGUAGCGCCUCGUGAACUCAUCUUCGGGGGUAGAGCACUGUUUCGACUAGGGGGUCAUCCCGACUUACCAACUCGAUGCAAACUACGAAUACCGAAGAAUGUUAUCACGGGAGACACACGGCGGGUGCUAACGUUCGUCGUGAAGAGGGAAACAACCCAGACCGCCAGCUAAGGUCCCAAAGUCAUAGUUAAGUGGGAAACGAAGUGGGAAGGCUCAGACAGCCAGGAUGUUGGCUUAGAAGCAGCCAUCAUUUAAAGAAAGCGUAAUAGCUCACUGGUCGAGUCGGCCUGCGCGGAAGAUGUAACGGGGCUAAACUAUGCACCGAAGCUGCGGCAGCGAUAUUUAGAUAUUGUUGGGUAGGGGAGCGUUCUGUAAGCCUGUGAAGGUGUACUGUGAGGUAUGCUGGAGGUAUCAGAAGUGCGAAUGCUGACAUAAGUAACGAUAAUGCGGGUGAAAAACCCGCACGCCGGAAGACCAAGGGUUCCUGUCCAACGUUAAUCGGGGCAGGGUGAGUCGACCCCUAAGGCGAGGCAGAAAUGCGUAGUCGAUGGGAAACGGGUUAAUAUUCCCGUACUGGUGAUAAUUGCGAUGGGGGGACGGAGAAGGCUAGGCUAUCCGGGCGACGGUUGUCCCGGUUUAAGAAUGUAGGCAGGUGAAUUAGGCAAAUCCGGUUCACUACAUGCUGAGGUUCGAUGACGAGUCACUACGGUGAUGAAGUAGCUCAUGCCCCGCUUCCAGGAAAAGCCUCUAAGCUCUAGAUUAUCAUUAAUCGUACCCCAAACCGACACAGGUGGUCAGGUAGAGAAUACUCAGGCGCUUGAGAGAACUCGGGUGAAGGAACUAGGCAAAAUGGUGCCGUAACUUCGGGAGAAGGCACGCUGGCGCUAGGUGAAGUCCCUUGCGGAUGGAGCUGAAGCCAGUCGCAGAUACCAGCUGGCUGCAACUGUUUAUUAAAAACACAGCACUGUGCAAACACGAAAGUGGACGUAUACGGUGUGACGCCUGCCCGGUGCUGGAAGGUUAAUUGAUGGGGUUAUCCGUAAGGAGAAGCUCUUGAUCGAAGCCCCAGUAAACGGCGGCCGUAACUAUAACGGUCCUAAGGUAGCGAAAUUCCUUGUCGGGUAAGUUCCGACCUGCACGAAUGGCGUAAUGAUGGCCAGGCUGUCUCCACCCGAGACUCAGUGAAAUUGAACUCGCUGUGAAGAUGCAGUGUACCCGCGGCAAGACGGAAAGACCCCGUGAACCUUUACUAUAGCUUGACACUGAACAUUGAGCCUUGAUGUGUAGGAUAGGUGGGAGGCUUCGAAGCGUGGACGCCAGUCUGCGUGGAGCCAACCUUGAAAUACCACCCUUUAAUGUUUGAUGUUCUAACGUUGCCCCGUUAUCCGGGGUGCGGACAGUGUCUGGUGGGUAGUUUGACUGGGGCGGUCUCCUCCCAAAGAGUAACGGAGGAGCACGAAGGUUGGCUAAGCAUGGUCGGACAUCAUGCGGUUAGUGCAAAGGCAUAAGCCAGCUUGACUGCGAGAGUGACGGCUCGAGCAGGUACGAAAGUAGGUCUUAGUGAUCCGGUGGUUCUGAAUGGAAGGGCCAUCGCUCAACGGAUAAAAGGUACUCCGGGGAUAACAGGCUGAUACCGCCCAAGAGUUCAUAUCGACGGCGGUGUUUGGCACCUCGAUGUCGGCUCAUCACAUCCUGGGGCUGAAGUAGGUCCCAAGGGUACGGCUGUUCGCCGUUUAAAGUGGUACGCGAGCUGGGUUUAGAACGUCGUGAGACAGUUCGGUCCCUAUCUGCCGUGGGCGUUGGAAGAUUGAAAGGGGCUGCUCCUAGUACGAGAGGACCGGAGUGGACGCACCACUGGUGUUCGGGUUGUCAUGCCAAUGGCAUUGCCCGGUAGCUAAGUGCGGAAGAGAUAACCGCUGAAAGCAUCUAAGCGGGAAACUUGCCUUGAGAUGAGUCUUCCCUGACCCUUUAAGGGUCCUAAAGGAACGUUUAAGACUAAGACGUUGAUAGGUUGGGUGUGUAAGCAUAGCGAUAUGUUGAGCUAACCAAUACUAAUGAACCGUGAGGCUUAACCUG